GGGCUUGUAGCUCAGUUGGUUAGAGCGCGCGCUUGAUAAGCGUGAGGUCGGAGGUUCAAGUCCUCCCGGGCCCACCA
Molecule: transfer RNA, 77 nt
Filed under: Mesorhizobium sp.
Lineage: Bacteria; Pseudomonadati; Pseudomonadota; Alphaproteobacteria; Hyphomicrobiales; Phyllobacteriaceae
Description: tRNA-Ile
Rfam family: tRNA
About the family: Transfer RNA (tRNA) molecules are approximately 80 nucleotides in length. Their secondary structure includes four short double-helical elements and three loops (D, anti-codon, and T loops).
Source: RNAcentral